GAUGAAGAACGCAGCGAAAUGCGAUACUUGGUGUGAAUUGCAGAAUCCCGUGAACCAUCGAGUCUUUGAACGCAAGUUGCGCCCGAAGCCGUCAGGCCGAGGGCACGCCUGCCUGGGCGUCACACGCCGUUGCCCCCCCGCGCCCCGCACCCAACUCUUUGGGAGCGACCGCGGGGCGGGCUGAUGAUGGCCUCCCGUGCGCUCCGCCGCGCGGUUGGCCCAAAUACCGAGUCCCCGGCGACGUGCGCCACGACGAUCGGUGGUUGAGAGACCUCUGUCGCAAGUCGUGCGCGCCCGUCGCGUCACGCGGGCUCGCAUAGCGCCUCGCGCCGCACCCGGUGCGGAGCUUUCAACGCGACCCCAGGUCAGGCGGGGUUACCCGCUGAAUUUAAGCAUAUCAAUAAGCGGAGUA
This 412-nucleotide unclassified non-coding RNA is filed under the name soil metagenome. Its description in RNAcentral is "partial contains 5.8S ribosomal RNA, internal transcribed spacer 2, and large subunit ribosomal RNA". The stretch from base 1 to 122 matches the Rfam family "5.8S ribosomal RNA", at positions 35 to 154 of the family's 154-position model. The record is from RNAcentral.